GCCCCUCCACCUCCCACCUCGUGCAUACCAUCGAGGACGACACUCUCACCUGGGCUAGGUUCGGUGUCAAAGGGCUGGACAGAAUCUUGCCUCAGACAUAGUCGUAUGUACUUGGGCUAAGCAGCCCGUUUCUUCUACUCCGGACAGCGUAAUCACGCCUUCAUUCGCACUUUUGUAUAACUUCACCCAUUUUGUAAAUUGCACUCCUUCUAUCAAUCAAAAGAUACGCAAAGUCUUGCAUAUUCACAAAAAGCCCUCCACAAUUAAACAAAUAUAAAGGAUUUACUAACUGCAUGAUCUGAAAGAGUUAGUCAGGAUACACAAGCCUCAAGGAGUUAAACAACAAAUGGACUCAAAAAAAUGAUCUAAGUUAAAAAAAAAUUGGAUUUCAACCAAUACAAUCAUCCAAAUUAACAAUAUUGGCCUUCACCGUCCAAUCAUAAGAGUGUGUCGCCGUGAACACUCGGUCAUGCAUCCAGCACUUGAAUGGGUUGAAACUGCCGCGGUGCUCGUCCAAAGCAGGGCCUCCGUCUUCACCAUUUGCACCACGUCCAUCGCCGCUGCCGCCGCCAUGCUCCGCCAUCACAAGAGAGAAUAGUGGGACGACAAGAAGAACGGGAGAAAGUUAGCCUCCACCUGUGCAUUGCACGGAAGGAUCACUUGCACGAAGGUCUUUUUGUGGGUCUCCGAUGAAAGAAGGAUGCAAAUGUUGAAACACACGGUUAAAGGACAUCAGAUGCCAUUCGUCUCCCCCUUUGACACAUCAUCCACUGAAAGUGGCCCGACCUGUUAGUUCGGCACCAGGCCAUACGAGCAAUCGGUACAAUUUGCAAAAAAAAUAAAAAUGCACGCUGUAAUUUGCAAAAGAAAAAAUGUCACAGUUUUAUUUUAUUUUUGAAACAAGACAAAAGAUGUCACAAUUGUAGUGGUUUUGUGCAUUUCAUUCAUGCGCAAAGUGUUUUCCUCGACGGCUUUAUUUGAUCACCGACCAGACAACCAGUGCAUCACCAAACGUGGAAGGAACUGAUGGAAACACUGAUAUGACGUGUAUCGUGUAUAAACCCUAAAUUGUGGCCGACCAAAGGAAAGGAAUGCCAAACAGAACCAACCAUCCAUCGUCACGUAUCGCAAACAACCAGCCACGACAGUCCAGCGAUUCUUUCCAGUGGCCAUCUUUGGUCAGCUAGUGUCGUGUUUAAAAAGGAUCGACAAAAUCCAUUCGUCCAGACAAUCAGCCAUGAACUCAUGUUCCCAUCCAGCAAAAGACAUCAUCCAGAGUUCUACGGAGUAGUAGCAUGCAUUAUUAUCCACACGAAAAAGGAGCUCAAACUCAAAAGGUCCCUUGGUCUCACCAGAACUAUUUACAAAGCCAUGGAGAAGGCUGUCUCGUUCCCACAGUUGGAUAAUAAGACAUCAUAAUACAAGCGGUACAGUCGGUCUGCACACCAAACGAAUCAACGGAAUGGACGGAAAAAAGAGGCAAAAUGAACGAUCUGAAUGAACCUAUCGGACGAGGCUGAGCAGAGGCGGGCGGCUGGAUCGAUCAGCCUCGGGUGGUGACGCGGAGGGCGUGCGGCGGCGGGGGCGNCCAGCACCUCCGCCACCAGCAUCGUGUAGUCCUCCAGCAGCUCCGCCACUAUCCCCACCAGGAACAUCGCCGCCGGUGAUAGGCUCGCCUUCGCCUCGCGGUGCGGUAAGAAAGGGAAUCGGUUUUUCCCUAGCUCGGGAUUUGUGUCUACUCCUUUGGAUGUGGAUGUGGUGUUGACUUGUUACCGUCCGAGGGCAGGCGUCCGCGGCUUUUAAAAGGGGUCGGGUUCCGGCGCGUCGUGUCCUGUGGGCAGUGGACGCUGGUUUUGGAUGGGACGGGGUGGCGGCCCGCCUGCACCCUGCGCGCUCGCUGCUGGUAUGCGCUAGAAU
This 1917-nucleotide long non-coding RNA is filed under the name Hordeum vulgare. Its description in RNAcentral is "long non-coding RNA (HVUL_LNC005318)". The record is from RNAcentral. Lineage: Eukaryota; Viridiplantae; Streptophyta; Magnoliopsida; Poales; Poaceae.